Molecule: long non-coding RNA, 2915 nt
Organism: Chinchilla lanigera (long-tailed chinchilla)
Lineage: Eukaryota; Metazoa; Chordata; Mammalia; Rodentia; Chinchillidae
Source: Ensembl
CGCUGCCUUCCUGUCAGUCACACAGCCUGGGUGUUUCCGCUGGCUGGGCACAUGAGGACUUGGGUGAGGAGCCCAGGUGACCAUGGCAGGAAGGCACCCGGGCUGCCGCAGAGCGUGAGGGGCCUCCUCCUCCUCAAGGACAGCUGUGCCGCGGGGGGCCGCACGGGCAGCCUCACUUCGCCAUGGAGACAGGCUUGGGACAUCUGAGCAGGAGUCGGGUCUGCAGGGGCUGUGGCUCUGUGUGACGGGGGCCCAGCACAGCCCCUUGGUGCAGGGACUGGAAGUGCACCUGAGACCCCCGGGGGCAGUGCCCCCAGCUGCCAUCCCCUUGGUGCCCUGGGCUGAGUGAGGGUAACGCUCAGCCUCUGUGGCCGCAGGACGACGCCCCCAGCAGGCGGGGUCCUCAGGGAGACGGAGAUCCUGGUGGUCUCGGGAGGGGGUGAGGGGUUUCUCAGGGUUUUGGGACAGGGAAGUGUUCUUUAUUCAAUUUCCUCUCUACUUGCAAAAUGUCUUUGUAAGGGGAAAUAAGCACCUCGGUAUUUGUCCGCAGGCUGAAGGGGCUUUUUCAUCCCGAAUGAGUGUCAGCUUACCGAGCUCCCGGCCCUCUGGUGGCAGGACUGGUCAAGCCACCACUGCAGUGGUCACUUAAUGUCACCCAACACUGGGGACAGGUGUGUCAGGUGUAUGGAUGGACAGAACCCCUGCCCAGCCUGGAGGGUGGCCGGCACCCCCAGCCCGAAGGCCCUUCUGACUCUGUCCUGGAUCUGCCACUCCAGGGGGACCAGCACUGGACCCUGCGUGUAGAGGCCGGGAGAGGACAGCCUGCAGCUCAGACACACGUGUGGGGAUGGGCUGUGUUGGGCUGCUGCUUGUGUGAUCCAUGUGCUGCCUUACAGUGCACUUACAAAGCAGGCCAUCAUGCACAGCUGAGUGGAAUAAGACAGAAAUAAGGACAGACAGGCCGACCUCUCGUCUCCACCCGCUCAUCCAUCAGAAGGCCCCAGUGAAAGGUCAGCGUCUCAGCACAAGUGGCCUUCGGGUCCCUGAGAAGCAACCAGGCAGCUGUCACCAUAACCCACAGGUCAGAAGUCUCUACAGCAAAGCUAGAGGGAGCCGACAACGCUGGGCCCCGCCGUGCGGGCUCCGCACCACAGCCAGCGGCCUUCACCUCCACCAAGAGGAGAGCCGCUGGGCCACUCAGGCUCUCCCUGACUCCGUUCAGAUUCUGCCUCGGGCCCCUUGGGCUCUCACCAUAGGUCUGCUGCAGGGAACACAGGGCAGAAGCCUCCUGCCUGCCACGAGGGUAACUGGGCGACAGCGCCCAGGGCCCAUCCUCUUGUGCCCGCCUUUCGUCCCCCCGUGGUGGGCCCUGACUGUCUCAGGUUGGCUUUUCAAUUUUUCUCUGACUUGAAAUAGUUAUAUAUUUUGAAUACAAGUUAUUUGUUGGAUCUAAGCAGAGCUAAUACCUUAGCCACUUUCUUCACGGUGCAUGUGGAUGGACAGAGGGUUCUAGUUUUAUGAUAUCUCAAUUUUAUUUAAAAAACCUUUCUAUGAUGAACGCUAUUUGCUGAUUCUGUUCUGCCUUCUACACAGUUUGCUGUUGCAGCUUUUACAGCUGCACCGGAAGGCAGCUCUGUUCUCAUCUCUGGUCCUGGUAGAUAAUAAACCUCUUCUCUUUGCCUGCUUUUCAGUUCUUUAUGAAUUUCACCGACGUACUUAUGUUGUACCAAUUAUUUUCAUUUGUAUAUUUCCUUGGUAGUGGCUGAAUUAUUGGAUCCAUGGGUUUACAGAUUGUGGAAAAUAUUUUGCCAUUUCACUGUAAAUAUUUUCUUCUGUACUAUCGUCUUUUUUCUGAGAUUUCAACUCCAUGUAUGUGGGGCUGGUUGAUACUCUCUCAUGAACCAGAGAUGUGCUGUUCUGUGCUUUAUCUUUAAAACCCCCCCAUGAUUUAUUUUGGGUAGUUUUUAUUGUCAUAUUUUCAGUAUAAAAAAGAAUGAUCUUUUUUCCUGCAGUGUCUGUCUUUUUUCCUGUUUGCUGGGAAGAUCAUGCACUAUAUCUUUCCUGCUGGAUGUGUCUUCUCAUUUCUCGAUAUGAUCAUCCUCUCCUGCGUGCCUGGUCAUUUUUGAUGGGACAUUAUGCUGCUGAUGCUGGAUUUUGUAGUAUUCCUUUGAUAAAUAUUGGGCUUUGUUCUUCCAAAAUUACUUUAAUUUUGAGAUUUGCUUUGAGGCAUUUCUGGGGCCUGGGGCAGAACAAUAGGAAAUUCAGCCCUUCUCCUACAGCACUUCCUUUCAAGAACUCUUCAGGGUCCUGUGUGUCCCAAGGUCUCUUCUCCAACUGGUGGAACACACACAUCCCAAGCCUGUGUCAGUCCAAGGCAUGUCCAGCCUCAGGCAUCCAGUGGUCACGUGCCCUGCCUCAUGUGGGUUCUUCUCUUGUGUGUACAGAUGGUGACCUCUGGGCUCAUGCUCUGGGCUAUGACCUCCUCUCCACUAUUUUGCUCUGCUGAUCCUGGCUGCCACAGCCUCCCUGAACUCUAAUCUGAGUCUCAACUCAGCAACUCUGGUAGGCUGUGUAGAGCACCCUCCCUACACCUGUCUAACUCUAACACCCCAUCUCACCAAUGAGGCCCCCGAAGCCUCAUGUGAUCAUGGGGGGUUGGCUUUUUGGAGGUGGCUGAAUCUAGAGUUUGUGAUUGGUUCAUGGUCUAAUGCUGAAAUUAAAGGUGUGAAUGCUAUACCUGCCCUAGGUGGGUAGUUUACAUAUACUAGAAGGGAGGGAAAGAGGCUGCUCUCUUCCUCUCUCCUCUUUGUUGCUUUGCUGUCUUCUGCCACCAUGAACUGUUGCCCUCUGCCAUGUGCUACUCUUCCUUGGAGCCAGUGGAUUAUGGACUGAAACCUCCACAAACUGUGAGCUAA